RNAcentral lists this long non-coding RNA (224 nucleotides) under Elaeis guineensis (African oil palm). RNAcentral's name for it is "long non-coding RNA (EGUI_LNC011204)". The record is from RNAcentral. Lineage: Eukaryota; Viridiplantae; Streptophyta; Magnoliopsida; Arecales; Arecaceae.
CCCUACUCUCUCACUGACAUGCAUCUUCUCCCUAUUCUUCCCCUCUUCUCACUCUUCACCUACUGCUUUAGCACCAUUAGUAUAUAUCUUUUUGUGAGUGAGUGUGGGGAGAGAGAGGGCAUCUAAUCCUCUCUUUUCUUUGCUACCUCUUGGAUGGACCAAUGAGUUGGCAUCACAAUUCACAACAAGCUUUGUUUCUUUGCCAGCUUUGUGAGAGUUUUGUA